CCUACGGGGGGCUGCAGUGGGGAAUAUUGGACAAUGGGGGGAACCCUGAUCCAGCCAUGCCGCGUGUGUGAAGAAGGCCCUCGGGUUGUAAAGCACUUUCAGUGAGGAAGAACGCCUGGUGGUUAAUACCCAUCAGGAAAGACAUCACUCACAGAAGAAGCACCGGCUAACUCCGUGCCAGCAGCCGCGGUAAUACGGAGGGUGCGAGCGUUAAUCGGAAGUACUGGGCGUAAAGCGCGCGUAGGUGGCUUGAUAAGCCGGUUGUGAAAGCCCCGGGCUCAACCUGGGAACGGCAUCCGGAACUGUCAAGCUAGAGUGCAGGAGAGGAAGGUAGAAUUCCCGGUGUAGCGGUGAAAUGCGUAGAGAUCGGGAGGAAUACCAGUGGCGAAGGCGGCCUUCUGGACUGACACUGACACUGAGGUGCGAAAGCGUGGGUAGCAAACAGGAUUAGAUACCCGGGUAGUC
Molecule: ribosomal RNA, 465 nt
Filed under: Vreelandella stevensii
Lineage: Bacteria; Pseudomonadati; Pseudomonadota; Gammaproteobacteria; Oceanospirillales; Halomonadaceae
Description: partial 16S ribosomal RNA
Rfam family: Bacterial small subunit ribosomal RNA
Source: RNAcentral